CUACAGGCUUAACACAUGCAAGUCGCAGGGUAACAUGAGGAAAGCUUGCUUUCCUUGAUGACGACUGGCGCACGGGUGAGUAACGCGUAUCCAACCUUCCCAUAACUACGGGAUAACCCGUUGAAAGACGGCCUAAUACCGUAUGAUAUCGUUUGCUGACAUCAAAUAACGAUUAAAGGUUUAGCGGUUAUGGAUGGGGAUGCGUCUGAUUAGCUUGUUGGCGGGGUAACGGCCCACCAAGGCUACGAUCAGUAGGGGUUCUGAGAGGAAGGUCCCCCACAUUGGAACUGAGACACGGUCCAAACUCCUACGGGAGGCAGCAGUGAGGAAUAUUGGUCAAUG
RNAcentral lists this ribosomal RNA (342 nucleotides) under uncultured Prevotella sp. RNAcentral's name for it is "bacterial SSU rRNA". It matches the Rfam family "Bacterial small subunit ribosomal RNA", at positions 43 to 373 of the family's 1533-position model. The record is from RNAcentral. Lineage: Bacteria; Pseudomonadati; Bacteroidota; Bacteroidia; Bacteroidales; Prevotellaceae.